RNAcentral lists this long non-coding RNA (1380 nucleotides) under Cyanistes caeruleus (blue tit). RNAcentral's name for it is "lncRNA (ENSCCEG00000002121.1)". The record is from RNAcentral. Lineage: Eukaryota; Metazoa; Chordata; Aves; Passeriformes; Paridae.
GUUUUUGGAUGUUCUGGGGUGACUCAGGUGUGUUUUUGGGGUGUUUUUGGGUCCCAGUUGUAUUUUUGGGAUGUUUUGGGGAUGUUUUUGGGUCCCAGCUGUGUUUUUGGGAUGUUUUCGGGUGGUUUUGGGGUAACUCAGGUGUGUUUUUGGGGUAUUUGGGGUGUUUUGGGGUGACUCAAGUGUGUUUUUGGGGUGUUUCUGGAUGUUUUAGGGUGACUCAGCUGUGUUUUUGGGGUGUUUUUGGGUCCCAGCUGUGAUUUUGGGAUGUUUUGGGGUGGUUUUGGGGUGACUCAGGUGUAUUUUUGGGGUGUUUUUGGAUGUUUUGGGGUGACUCAGGUGUAUUUUUGGGGUGUUUUUUGGAUGUUUUGGGGUGACUCAGGUGUGUUUUUGGGGUGUUUUUUGGAUGUUUUGGGGUGUUUUUGGGGUGUUUUUGGGUCCCAGCUGUGAUUUUGGGAUGUUUUCGGGUGGUUUUGGGGUGACUCAGGUGCGUUUUUGGGGUGUUUUUGGGUCACAGCUGUAUUUUUGGGGUGUUUUUGGGGUGUUUUUGGGUCCCAGCUGUAUUUUUGGGAUGUUUUCGGGUGGUUUUGGGGUGACUCAGGUGUGUUUUUGGAUGUUUUGGGGUGACUCAGGUGCGUUUUUGGGGUGUUUUUGGAUGUUUUAGGGUGACUCAGGUGUGUUUUUGGGAUGUUUUAGGAUGUUUUGGGGUGACUCAGGUGCGUUUUUGGGAUGUUUUGGGAUGUUUUGGGGUGGUUUUGGGGUGUUUUUGGGUCCCAGCUGUGAUUUUGGGAUGUUUUGGGAUGUUUUGGGGUGACUCAGGUGUGUUUUUGGGGUGUUUUUGGGUCCCAGCUGUGAUUUUGGGAUGUUUUGGAUGUUUUGGGGUGACUCAGGUGCGUUUUUGGGGUCCCCCAGGUGCUGGACCCCGCGUUCCGGGGCCCCUUUGGGAACGUGAAUCGCUGGUUCCUGACGUGCCUGAACCAGCCCCAGUUCAAAGCCGUGCUGGGAGAGGUGACCCUGUGCCAGAGGAUGGCCCAGUUCGACGCCAAGAAAUUUGCGGAGAGCCAGGCCCGGAAGGAGAAGGAGCCCCCCAAGAAGGAGAAGGAGCCCCCCAAGAAGGAGAAGCCCCCCAAGAGGGAGGAGAAGCGGCCGGAGCCCGACGAGGACCUGGAUGAGUGCGAGCAGGUCCUGGCAGCUGAGCCCAAAGCCAAGGAUCCCUUCGCACACCUGCCCAAGAGGUGGGGACACGCCUGGGGACACCUGGGGACAGCUGGGGACACCUGGGGAUACACCUGGGGGGGUCUGGGGACACCUGGGGACAGCUGGGGACACACCUGGGGACACACCUGGACACACCUGGACACAGCUGGGGACACCUGGGGA